RNAcentral lists this small nuclear RNA (23 nucleotides) under Arabidopsis thaliana (thale cress). RNAcentral describes it as "snRNA_13656". The record is from RNAcentral. Lineage: Eukaryota; Viridiplantae; Streptophyta; Magnoliopsida; Brassicales; Brassicaceae.
UGACGGGUUCUGGUGACCCUCCU